Molecule: transfer RNA, 76 nt
Filed under: Alphaproteobacteria bacterium
Lineage: Bacteria; Pseudomonadati; Pseudomonadota; Alphaproteobacteria
Description: tRNA-Met
Rfam family: tRNA
About the family: Transfer RNA (tRNA) molecules are approximately 80 nucleotides in length. Their secondary structure includes four short double-helical elements and three loops (D, anti-codon, and T loops). Further hydrogen bonds mediate the characteristic L-shaped molecular structure. tRNAs have two regions of fundamental functional importance: the anti-codon, which is responsible for specific mRNA codon recognition, and the 3' end, to which the tRNAs corresponding amino acid is attached (by aminoacyl-tRNA synthetases). tRNAs cope with the degeneracy of the genetic code in two manners: having more than one tRNA (with a specific anti-codon) for a particular amino acid; and 'wobble' base-pairing, i.e. permitting non-standard base-pairing at the 3rd anti-codon position.
Source: RNAcentral
CGCGGGAUUUUCACGGAUGGCCGGAUUCAGGCUCAUAACCUGAAGGUCACAGGUUCAAAUCCUGUCCCCGCAACCA